This 1968-nucleotide ribosomal RNA is filed under the name Bacteroides acidifaciens. RNAcentral describes it as "bacterial SSU rRNA". The stretch from base 1 to 1517 matches the Rfam family "Bacterial small subunit ribosomal RNA". The record is from RNAcentral. Lineage: Bacteria; Pseudomonadati; Bacteroidota; Bacteroidia; Bacteroidales; Bacteroidaceae.
GUUUGAUCCUGGCUCAGGAUGAACGCUAGCUACAGGCUUAACACAUGCAAGUCGAGGGGCAGCAUGAAAGUUUGUUUGCAAACUUUUGAUGGCGACCGGCGCACGGGUGAGUAACACGUAUCCAACCCGCCUCAUACUCGGGGAUAGCCUUUCGAAAGAAAGAUUAAUACCCGAUGUCAUAGUCCUACCGCAUGAUGGGACUAUUAAAGAAUUUCGGUAUGGGAUGGGGAUGCGUUCCAUUAGUUAGUUGGCGGGGUAACGGCCCACCAAGACAACGAUGGAUAGGGGUUCUGAGAGGAAGGUCCCCCACAUUGGAACUGAGACACGGUCCAAACUCCUACGGGAGGCAGCAGUGAGGAAUAUUGGUCAAUGGACGAGAGUCUGAACCAGCCAAGUAGCGUGAAGGAUGACUGCCCUAUGGGUUUAAACUUCUUUUAUAUGGGAAUAAAACGUUCACGUGUGGGAUUUUGUAUGUACCAUAUGAAUAAGGAUCGGCUAACUCCGUGCCAGCAGCCGCGGUAAUACGGAGGAUCCGAGCGUUAUCCGGAUUUAUUGGGUUUAAAGGGAGCGUAGGUGGAUUGUUAAGUCAGUUGUGAAAGUUUGCGGCUCAACCGUAAAAUUGCAGUUGAAACUGGCAGUCUUGAGUACAGUAGAGGUGGGCGGAAUUCGUGGUGUAGCGGUGAAAUGCUUAGAUAUCACGAAGAACUCCGAUUGCGAAGGCAGCUCACUGGACUGCAACUGACACUGAGGCUCGAAAGUGUGGGUAUCAAACAGGAUUAGAUACCCUGGUAGUCCACACAGUAAACGAUGAAUACUCGCUGUUUGCGAUAUACAGUAAGCGGCCAAGCGAAAGCAUUAAGUAUUCCACCUGGGGAGUACGCCGGCAACGGUGAAACUCAAAGGAAUUGACGGGGGCCCGCACAAGCGGAGGAACAUGUGGUUUAAUUCGAUGAUACGCGAGGAACCUUACCCGGGCUUAAAUUGCACCUGAAUAAUGUGGAAACAUGUUAGCCGUAAGGCAGGUGUGAAGGUGCUGCAUGGUUGUCGUCAGCUCGUGCCGUGAGGUGUCGGCUUAAGUGCCAUAACGAGCGCAACCCUUAUCUUCAGUUACUAACAGGUCAUGCUGAGGACUCUGGAGAGACUGCCGUCGUAAGAUGUGAGGAAGGUGGGGAUGACGUCAAAUCAGCACGGCCCUUACGUCCGGGGCUACACACGUGUUACAAUGGGAGGUACAGAAGGCCGCUACCUGGCGACAGGAUGCCAAUCCCCAAAACCUCUCUCAGUUCGGAUCGAAGUCUGCAACCCGACUUCGUGAAGCUGGAUUCGCUAGUAAUCGCGCAUCAGCCAUGGCGCGGUGAAUACGUUCCCGGGCCUUGUACACACCGCCCGUCAAGCCAUGAAAGCCGGGGGUACCUGAAGUACGUAACCGCAAGGAUCGUCCUAGGGUAAAACUGGUAAUUGGGGCUAAGUCGUAACAAGGUAGCCGUACCGGAAGGUGCGGCUGGAACACCUCCUUUCUGGAGCGAUGUCGUAACGAUGACUUUUUCAAGGUUCUGUUUUUUGUACUACUGGUACUUGUUUAUUUAUAAAAUAUAGAAUCAACCAUCUAUAGAAAGUAUAGAAUAGAGAUAAACAAGAAGAAAACAGAAGCCGAGUCUAACUCAACAGGUAAACAAGGUUGAACUAGUCCUAUAGCUCAGUUGGUUAGAGCGCUACACUGAUAAUGUAAAGGUCGGCAGUUCAACUCUGCCUGGGACUACUCCGAAACUCUUUGGGGGGAUUAGCUCAGCUGGCUAAAGCAUCUGCCUUGCACGCAGAGGGUCAACGGUUCGAAUCCGUUAUUCUCCACAGUCUCUGAAAAGAGAAACGAUCUUUGACAUGAUGUAACCAAAAAGUAAAAAUUUUAGUAAAGAGCUAAAAGUAUAUAAUCGAACCGUACGUUCUUGACGUAUCAAGACUGUGUAACCA